AGAGUUUGAUCCUGGCUCAGAUUGAACGCUGGCGGCAGGCCUAACACAUGCAAGUCGAGCGGUAGAGAGGUGCUUGCACCUCUUGAGAGCGGCGGACGGGUGAGUAAUACCUAGGAAUCUGCCUGGUAGUGGGGGAUAACGUUCGGAAACGGACGCUAAUACCGCAUACGUCCUACGGGAGAAAGCAGGGGACCUUCGGGCCUUGCGCUAUCAGAUGAGCCUAGGUCGGAUUAGCUAGUUGGUGAGGUAAUGGCUCACCAAGGCUACGAUCCGUAACUGGUCUGAGAGGAUGAUCAGUCACACUGGAACUGAGACACGGUCCAGACUCCUACGGGAGGCAGCAGUGGGGAAUAUUGGACAAUGGGCGAAAGCCUGAUCCAGCCAUGCCGCGUGUGUGAAGAAGGUCUUCGGAUUGUAAAGCACUUUAAGUUGGGAGGAAGGGCAUUAACCUAAUACGUUAGUGUCUUGACGUUACCGACAGAAUAAGCACCGGCUAACUCUGUGCCAGCAGCCGCGGUAAUACAGAGGGUGCAAGCGUUAAUCGGAAUUACUGGGCGUAAAGCGCGCGUAGGUGGUUUGUUAAGUUGAAUGUGAAAUCCCCGGGCUCAACCUGGGAACUGCAUCCAAACUGGCAAGCUAGAGUAUGGUAGAGGGUAGUGGAAUUUCCUGUGUAGCGGUGAAAUGCGUAGAUAUAGGAAGGGAACACCAGUGGCGAAGGCGACUACCUGGGACUGAUACUGACACUGAGGUGCGAAGCGUGGGGAGCAACAGGAUUAGAUACCUGGUAGUCCACGCCGUAAACGAUGUUCACUAGCCGUUGGA
This 822-nucleotide ribosomal RNA is filed under the name uncultured Gammaproteobacteria bacterium. Its description in RNAcentral is "bacterial SSU rRNA". It matches the Rfam family "Bacterial small subunit ribosomal RNA", at positions 8 to 827 of the family's 1533-position model. Lineage: Bacteria; Pseudomonadati; Pseudomonadota; Gammaproteobacteria. The record is from RNAcentral.